GUCCUGGCCCUAAACGAUGAAUGCUUGGUGUGGCGGGUAUCGAUCCCUGCCGUGCCGAAGCUAACGCAUUAAGCAUUCCGCCUGGGGAGUACGGUCGCAAGGCUGAAAACUCAAAAGGAAUUGACGGGGGCCCGCACAAGCGGUGGAACAUGUGGUUUAAUUCGAGGCAACGCGAAGAACCUUACCAGGAUUCGACAUGCCCUCUAUGGAACGCUGAAAGGCGAUCCUUCACUUCGGGUGGGAGGAGCACAGGUGCUGCAUGGCUGUCGU
RNAcentral lists this ribosomal RNA (270 nucleotides) under uncultured bacterium. Its description in RNAcentral is "partial 16S ribosomal RNA". It matches the Rfam family "Bacterial small subunit ribosomal RNA", at positions 793 to 1055 of the family's 1533-position model. The record is from RNAcentral.